This 253-nucleotide ribosomal RNA is filed under the name uncultured bacterium. Its description in RNAcentral is "partial 16S ribosomal RNA". It matches the Rfam family "Bacterial small subunit ribosomal RNA", at positions 524 to 776 of the family's 1533-position model. The record is from RNAcentral.
UACGGGGGGGGCAAGGGUUGUUCGGAAUUACUGGGCGUAAAGGGCUCGUAGGUGGCCAACUAAGUCAUACGUGAAAUCCCUCGGCUUAACCGGGGAACUGCGUCUGAUACUGGAUGGCUUGAGGUUGGGAGAGGGAUGCGGAAUUCCAGGUGUAGCGGUGAAAUGCGUAGAUAUCUGGAGGAACACCGGUGGCGAAGGCGGUUCUCUGGGCCUUACCUGACGCUGAGGAGCGAAAGCGUGGGGAGCGAACAGG